AUUGAACGCUGGCGGCAGGCUUAACACAUGCAAGUCGAGCGGUAGCACAGGGGAGCUUGCUCCCUGGGUGACGAGCGGCGGACGGGUGAGUAAUGUCUGGGAAACUGCCUGAUGGAGGGGGAUAACUACUGGAAACGGUAUCUAAUACCGCAUAACGUCGCAAGACCAAAGAGGGGGACCUUCGGGCCUCUUGCCAUCAGAUGUUCCCAGAUGGGAUUAGCUAGUAGGUGGGGUAAUGGCUCACCUAGGCGACGAUCCCUAGCUGGUCUGAGAGGAUGACCAGCCACACUGGAACUGAGACACGGUCCAGACUCCUACGGGAGGCAGCAGUGGGGAAUAUUGCACAAUGGGCGCAAGCCUGAUGCAGCCAUGCCGCGUGUGUGAAGAAGGCCUUCGGGUUGUAAAGCACUUUCAGCGAGGAGGAAGGUGGUGAGCUUAAUACGUUCAUCAAUUGACGUUACUCGCAGAAGAAGCACCGGCUAACUCCGUG
This 490-nucleotide ribosomal RNA is filed under the name uncultured bacterium. RNAcentral describes it as "partial 16S ribosomal RNA". It matches the Rfam family "Bacterial small subunit ribosomal RNA", at positions 30 to 507 of the family's 1533-position model. The record is from RNAcentral.